AUGGCUUCUCGUCCUCGUCGAUUCUUGCAACAACCAAAAUGGCUUCUCGAUUUCUAACCAAUUCUUGGAUGGGCUUCACAUAUCGAUCGAGAGAAUUCCAACUGCAAUUUCUCUGCAAAAUCAUUCAAAUUUUCACUUCGCAGUCACUGUGGCAAACAAAUUCAACCCAAAUUCGCGGCAUGAAUCGACACAAAAAGAUCAAAAAAAAGGGAAGAACACAAGGAAUCUUUGCAAGGGAAAGCACCCAACAAAAAAAACAGUACGAACCAAAUGCAAAAUUUCUCGCGCAAACUACGCACUUAUCCCUCAAAACCAACACAAUUCACACAACCCGCGAAACCAAAUCACCACAUAAAACAAACUCCAAUUCGAACCCCAAAAAUAAAAUUUUAAAACAGAAAAAAAAAACCCGACCACAUAUUCCACCAAGAACAAAGAACCCUAAAAAACCACCAAGAAUGCAAGACUAACUCCAAACAUUUCAAAAGCUCCACCCAACAAAGAAACUAAUCCCUCACCUUGGCCAGGACAAGAACUGCCCAAGAACCCAAAACUUCAUCAAGAAUGGAGCUCUCUCUCCCCUCUCUCACACAGAGCUCCAACAAAAAAUCUUCUUGCAAGAACUGAGACAACAAUGAUAGAAACUGGAAAGAGAGGAGAGAAAAAGGGAAGAGAAGAGAAGAGAGAGCAGCAGGUUGAUUACUGCUACUGGUAGUAAAGCAAAGCAGAAGAACAGAGACGAAACCUACACUUUACUAUUUAAGCAGGCAGACGAAGAAGAAGC
RNAcentral lists this long non-coding RNA (784 nucleotides) under Oryza brachyantha (malo sina). Its description in RNAcentral is "long non-coding RNA (OBRA_LNC002424)". The record is from RNAcentral. Lineage: Eukaryota; Viridiplantae; Streptophyta; Magnoliopsida; Poales; Poaceae.